This 298-nucleotide ribosomal RNA is filed under the name uncultured bacterium. Its description in RNAcentral is "partial 16S ribosomal RNA". It matches the Rfam family "Bacterial small subunit ribosomal RNA", at positions 28 to 347 of the family's 1533-position model. The record is from RNAcentral.
GAUAAACGCUGGCGGCGUGCCUAACACAUGCAAGUCGAACGCCCUGGAGCAAUUCAGGGAGUGGCGGACGGGUGAGGAACACGUGGGUGAUCUGCCUUGAGGUGAGGAAUACCGGCGAGAAAUCGCCGACAAUACCGCAUAGGUUCGUAAGAACAAAGUCGCAAGACGCCUUGAGAUGAGCCUGCGUCCGAUUAGCCAGUUGGUGGGGUAAUGGCCUACCAAAGCAGCGAUCGGUAGCUGGUCUGAGAGGACGAUCAGCCACACUGGGAUUGAGAACGGCCCAGACUCCGUACGGGGG